UGUUGAUCUGAAAGCAUGUAUUACACGACUUCCGGAAGAGGGAUUUGGCGCAAAUAUUACCACUUGGCCUUCACGCCUGCAGUAUCCUCCAGAUAGACUCCAGAGCAUACAAGUAGAUUCUUUUCUGUCUAGGAAAGAGCUUUUCAAUGCAGAAUCAAAAUUCUGGAAUGAAAUAAUUGGGAGCUAUGUCCGUGCUUGGCAUUGGAAGAAGUUAAAACUUAGAAAUGUGAUGGAUAUGAGAGCUGGUUUUGGAGGAUUUGCAGCAGCAAUGAUUGAAAAUCAACUGGAUUGCUGGGUUCUGAAUGUUGUCCCUGUUAGUGGUAAAAAUACCUUACCUGUCAUUUUUGACCGUGGACUACUUGGAGUCAUGCAUGACUGGUGUGAACCAUUUGAUACUUACCCAAGAACCUACGACUUAUUGCACGCAAAUGGUCUCUUCUCCAUCGAACAAAAAAGAUGCAACAUGUCCACAAUCAUGCUUGAAAUGGACCGGAUAUUGAGGCCAGGUGGACGAGCAUACAUCCGUGAUUCUGUUGCUAUCAUGGAUGAACUACAAGAUAUUGGGAAAGCCAUGGGUUGGCGUGUAACUGUGAGAGACACAUCUGAGGGUCCUCAUGCUAGUUACAAGAUAUUGACAGGUGACAAACACCUUUUACGAGCCUAACAGAUGAUAAGAAAGGAGAAACCAACAUUCAAAUAACUCCCCCACGGAUACAUCAAAACUCAUGUUUCUACGGUAAGUGGACCUGAAAGAUUGAAUGCUUGCUUAACAUGGCAGAAAUAUCCAGGGCUGUUGUUUAAAACCAUGUAGCCAUAUAAAAUGUACAGCAGAAGAUGGUAUAGAGCUUCACACGAUCGAAGAUAUAUGGUAUAGCUCAGUGUUGUAUUUGUUUCCAUUGAUGGUUCUGUGACUAUGAGGGUUCUUUUAGUCAUAAGUUUUGCUGUUUACUUGAGCUGAGAAAUCUAAACAAUAACAGAAAAAGAAACUAUGCAACAACAUAUAUUAAUAUAUUUAAGUAGGAGUUGUG
Molecule: unclassified non-coding RNA, 1028 nt
Filed under: Hevea brasiliensis (rubber tree)
Lineage: Eukaryota; Viridiplantae; Streptophyta; Magnoliopsida; Malpighiales; Euphorbiaceae
Source: RNAcentral